RNAcentral lists this ribosomal RNA (253 nucleotides) under uncultured bacterium. RNAcentral describes it as "partial 16S ribosomal RNA". It matches the Rfam family "Bacterial small subunit ribosomal RNA", at positions 524 to 776 of the family's 1533-position model. The record is from RNAcentral.
UACGGAGGGUGCGAGCGUUGUCCGGAAUCACUGGGCGUAAAGGGCGCGUAGGCGGCGCGGGGAGUCAACGGUGAAAGCUCGGCGCUCAACGCCGAGUCGGCCGUCGAUACUCCCGUGCUCGAGCACUGUAGAGGCAGGUGGAAUUCCGGGUGUAGCGGUGGAAUGCGUAGAGAUCCGGAAGAACACCGGUGGCGAAGGCGGCCUGCUGGGCAGUAGCUGACGCUGAGGCGCGACAGCGUGGGUAGCAAACAGG